CCUACGGGAGGCAGCAGUGGGGAAUUUUGGACAAUGGGCGCAAGCCUGAUCCAGCCAUGCCGCGUGUGGGAAGAAGGCCUUCGGGCUGUAAACCACUUUUGUCAGGGAAGAAACGGCCUUUUCUAAUACAGAGGGCUAAUGACGGUACCUGAAGAAUAAGCACCGGCUAACUACGUGCCAGCAGCCGCGGUAAUACGUAGGGUGCAAGCGUUAAUCGGAAUUACUGGGCGUAAAGCGUGCGCAGGCGGCUUUGCAAGACAGAUGUGAAAUCCCCGGGCUCAACCUGGGAACUGCAUUUGUGACUGCAUGGCUAGAGUACGGUAGAGGGGGAUGGAAUUCCGCGUGUAGCAGUGAAAUGCGUAGAUAUGCGGAGGAACACCGAUGGCGAAGGCAAUCCCCUGGACCUGUACUGACGCUCAUGCACGAAAGCGUGGGGAGCAAACAGGAUUAGAUACCCUGGUAGUCCACGCCCUAAACGAUGUCAACUGGUUGUUGGACGGCUUGCUGUUCNGUAACGAAGCUAACGCGUGAAGUUGACCGCCUGGGGAUACGGCCGCAAGGUUGAAACUUAAAGUGAAUUCGAGG
Molecule: ribosomal RNA, 585 nt
Filed under: uncultured bacterium
Lineage: Bacteria
Description: bacterial SSU rRNA
Rfam family: Bacterial small subunit ribosomal RNA
Source: RNAcentral